Molecule: long non-coding RNA, 412 nt
Organism: Podarcis raffonei (Aeolian wall lizard)
Lineage: Eukaryota; Metazoa; Chordata; Lepidosauria; Squamata; Lacertidae
Exons: 2
Source: RefSeq, a predicted model, not a curated record
GGUAGGAGUAGGGUAGGGGUAGGGGUAGGGUUGAGUUGGGGUAGUGUUAGGGUUAGGGUUCCCUUCUUGUCAGGGAACUCUGGGAAAUGUAGCUCGGGGGUAGGGGUAGAGUUCCCUUUUUGCCAGGGAACUCUGGGAACUGUAGCUCUUGGAGGGGAACAGGGGGUCUCCUAACAACUCUCUGCACCCUUUUCAAACUAUAGCUCCCAGAUUCUUUGGGGAAAGAAGCCAUGAGUGUUUAAAGCAGCUUCAUAGCACAUGAAAUGGUGUGGAUGUGGCCCUGGCCUCCAUCACCCCACUGCCCCUUAUUCUUCAGGAAUCGAAAAGAUUUCCCCAUGCAAAUCUCUCGGAAACAAUGUAUUUCAUCCGGAAAACUAUUUAAUAAAGAUUACUUUUUAUUAAAACCUUUGAA